RNAcentral lists this ribosomal RNA (253 nucleotides) under uncultured bacterium. RNAcentral describes it as "partial 16S ribosomal RNA". It matches the Rfam family "Bacterial small subunit ribosomal RNA", at positions 524 to 776 of the family's 1533-position model. The record is from RNAcentral.
UACGGAGGGUGCAAGCGUUAAUCGGAAUUACUGGGCGUAAAGCGCACGCAGGCGGUCAAUUAAGUCAGAUGUGAAAGCCCCGGGCUUAACCCGGGAAUUGCAUCUGAUACUGUUCAGCUAGAGUGUUGUAGAGGGAGGUAGAAUUCCAUGUGUAGCGGUGAAAUGCGUAGAGAUGUGGAGGAAUACCGGUGGCGAAGGCGGCCCUCUGGACAAAGACUGACGCUCAGGUGCGAAAGCGUGGGGAGCAAACAGG